GCAACGGACUUGUCCGGAGCCUGAUGCAGCGACGCCGCGUGAGGGAUGACGGCCUUCGGGUUGUAAACCUCUUUCAGUAGGGAAGAAGCCCCUUUUGGGGUGACGGUACUUGCAGAAGAAGCGCCGGCUAACUACGUGCCAGCAAUAACGGUAAUAGCGGUAAUAU
This 166-nucleotide ribosomal RNA is filed under the name uncultured bacterium. Its description in RNAcentral is "partial 16S ribosomal RNA". It matches the Rfam family "Bacterial small subunit ribosomal RNA", at positions 368 to 533 of the family's 1533-position model. The record is from RNAcentral.